AACCGAAGAGACAAAGUUGUGCAGAUACUUUGCAUAAUCUCCCGCACGACGACAGACGAGGGCGCCAGUUCAUCCAUUGGUCUCCUGCUUCAACACCAAUCAGCGAAGAGCACAGCGUUUACUGUCGUGGUUAUUUCUGAGAUCAAUCAAACAUCAUGAGGAGCA
Long non-coding RNA from Drosophila subobscura, 165 nucleotides. RefSeq lists it as uncharacterized. The record is from RefSeq and is a predicted model, not a curated record. NCBI's taxonomy places the organism in Eukaryota, Metazoa, Arthropoda, Insecta, Diptera, Drosophilidae. The transcript is spliced from 3 exons.